This 449-nucleotide ribosomal RNA is filed under the name uncultured bacterium. RNAcentral describes it as "bacterial SSU rRNA". It matches the Rfam family "Bacterial small subunit ribosomal RNA", at positions 354 to 796 of the family's 1533-position model. The record is from RNAcentral.
GUCGAGAAUUUUUCUCAAUGGGGGAAACCCUGAAGGAGCGACGCCGCGUGAAGGAUGAAGGUCUUCGGAUUGUAAACUUCUGUCAUUUGAGAACAAACUGCACGGCUUAACUGGCUGUGCACUGAUAGUAUCAGAAGAGGAAGAGACGGCUAACUCUGUGCCAGCAGCCGCGGUAAUACAGAGGUCUCGAGCGUUGUUCGGAUUCAUUGGGCGUAAAGGGUGCGUAGGUGGUCUGGUAAGUCGGAUGUGAAAUCCCGGAGCUUAACUUCGGAACUGCAUUCGAUACUGCCGGACUGGAGUACUGGAGAGGAGAUCGGAAUUUACGGUGUAGCAGUGAAAUGCGUAGAUAUCGUAAGGAAGACCAGUGGCGAAGGCGGAUCUCUGGACAGUUACUGACACUGAGGCACGAAGGCCAGGGGAGCAAACGGGAUUAGAAACCCUAGUAGUCC